Molecule: long non-coding RNA, 879 nt
Organism: Vicia villosa (hairy vetch)
Lineage: Eukaryota; Viridiplantae; Streptophyta; Magnoliopsida; Fabales; Fabaceae
Exons: 4
Source: RefSeq, a predicted model, not a curated record
AAAUAUGUUAGUUUACCUAAAAUCUGUAAAUCCCAAGUAACUUCUGAAAAAGGCUGAAACGUGUUUACAAUUUACGAGGGCUGCCUUAAGCAAAUUGUUACCGUUGGGCUGUACCAAAUGCACUAUAUUAUACCCAUUGGUUUCACUUUCUCAACAGACCCAUUUCUCCCAUCUGCUUGCUCUCUAUCUUUCUUCUCUGUUACCACUUCCUCUCUAACUUUCCCAGCAGACCCUAAGUUCUGUUUUUGUGAGUGUCACCCGGUGAACUCAACCGGUAACCUGCCACCGGAGAGAACCAUCAUCCGCUAGAACCACCAUGUUUCUAAAAGUUACACUUCUCUUCGGUGAACAAGUUUUCCUUACAUCUCAAUUCAAGCAAUGGGAUCCAGGAAGAGAAAACAAAAGCUCUAUUUACAGCAACUUUGAUUUCCUUGAUUAAUGAAGGAAAGUUUGGAGCUUUUUCUUUGCCUCCAUCCCAACUUCUAUACUUGCAGCAGUGUAUUGUAUUUUAUUUAUUUACGUGAGUUCAGGCGGUGUCUCAACUUGCUUUUGUAUUGUGAUUUGAACAACUUUCGAAGCGGUUUAUCUUGAGUUUCUCUCUGUUUAUGGGUUUCUCCAUACCACAUUAUACUGCAUACCAAAGCUCGUUGGAUAUGUUUGCAUUCUUUCAUCGCCAUAAUUAGAGAAACCGAGACGCCAACUAGUGGGAUCGAUAACUGAUAGUAGGAUUGCCAAGUCUCUCCUUUUGUAGUGUUAUUGUUGAUUAUUGUAUUAAGCUUUAUAGUGUUAUUGUUGAUUAUUGUAUUAAGCUUUAUUUCAUAUGAUUAUAUGUAUAUGUUACAUUACUUGCAGUAGAAUAUAUAUUUACAAUAUAUAUUA